This 405-nucleotide ribosomal RNA is filed under the name uncultured bacterium. Its description in RNAcentral is "bacterial SSU rRNA". It matches the Rfam family "Bacterial small subunit ribosomal RNA", at positions 475 to 879 of the family's 1533-position model. The record is from RNAcentral.
GUACUCAACAAGGAAGUGACGGCUAACUACGUGCCAGCAGCCGCGGUAAAACGUAGGUCUCAAGCGUUGUCCGGAAUUACUGGGUGUAAAGGGAGCGCAGGCGGGCAGACAAGUUGGAAGUGAAAUCCAUGGGCUCAACCCAUGAACUGCUUUCAAAACUGUUUUUCUUGAGUAGUGCAGAGGUAGGCGGAAUUCCCGGUGUAGCGGUGGAAUGCGUAGAUAUCGGGAGGAACACCAGUGGCGAAGGCGGCCUACUGGGCACCAACUGACGCUGAGGCUCGAAAGUGUGGGUAGCAAACAGGAUUAGAUACCCUGGUAGUCCACACCGUAAACGAUGAUUAUUAGGUGUUGGAGGAUUGACCCCUUCAGUGCCGCAGUUAACACAAUAAGUAAUCCACCUGGGGA